UACGGGGGGGGCAAGCGUUGUUCGGAAUUACUGGGCGUAAAGGGCCAGUAGGCGGCCGGCUAAGUCCGACGUGAAAUCCCCAGGCUUAACCUGGGAACUGCGUCGGAUACUGGCUGGCUUGAAUUCGGGAGAGGGAUGCAGAAUUCCAGGUGUAGCGGUGAAAUGCGUAGAUAUCAGGAGGAACACCCGUGGCGAAAGCGGCUCUCUGGGACGGUACUGACGCUGAGACGCGAAAGCGUGGGGAGCAAACAGG
This 253-nucleotide ribosomal RNA is filed under the name uncultured bacterium. RNAcentral's name for it is "partial 16S ribosomal RNA". It matches the Rfam family "Bacterial small subunit ribosomal RNA", at positions 524 to 776 of the family's 1533-position model. The record is from RNAcentral.